This 3310-nucleotide long non-coding RNA is filed under the name Salmo salar (Atlantic salmon). RNAcentral describes it as "lncRNA (ENSSSAG00000095570.1)". Lineage: Eukaryota; Metazoa; Chordata; Actinopteri; Salmoniformes; Salmonidae. The record is from RNAcentral.
AAAUAUUGUUAAUGGAAAGAAUUGGAGGGAGCUCAACCAACGUGAGUCGAAGUGCAAUCCAAAAAUAUAAUCAUCAUUGAAAAGGAAAAAGACACAACUCGCACAUAGGUUAGGCUACUAUGGUGAGCGAGCGUUGCCCCUUUUCAUUUUCAAUAAAUAUUGAUUACCCAUUCAUUUGUCUCUGCCUGCAAGUCAUCCUCCCAAAAGGUAGGCUAUAUCCUAUAGGCCUAUGCCAGUGUCACUGUCAUCAUUCUUGCUGCUUCCAGUUCAGUAGCCAUACCUGCGAGAUCAGGUGCGAGUGUGAUCUCAAAAUAGAGUAGGCUAUAGCCUAUGCAUGGGUGGAGAAGCACUGUCAGUUAUCUUUCCAAGGAAAUGUACUUCCAUAAUAGGCCUAUGAUUAGGCUAUAGUUUACUACAACAGAAUGAGUCACAACAAAACAUGUUAUAACCGUGUAUGUGUGUGGUAGGCUAACUGACGGUAUUUGUCACAGGGGAAGACUCCAGAUAAUGAGGCAUAUUUCCAGGAGAACAUACUAUUGCUUGCCUCUGACAUAAUUUCCUGUGUUUUGAUUGAUUGUGUGUUGUUGAGUUGGGGCUAGAAGACAAAUAGUAGUGUGAUUGAAUAUCAUGGGUGCCUGCUAAAACUAACGCAGGGGAUUUCCUUAGGGGAUAGAAUAUAAUAUUAUCGUUGCCCAUUUUGAAGGUGGCUAACUGAAUUGCUCUAUCCAGUCUCAGAGAGACUUUUAUCAGUCAUAGACUAUACCUGCAAUAUAGUCACAACCUUUACCCACUACACCAAGCAGGUUGAUAUGGCCUGUACAGAAAGGGAACAGAUUGGCGAGCAGUUAAAGUAUGUAUUCUUUUUGGAAGGGGAUACAUUUGAUAGACAUUAGGAAUAUUCCAAACCCCACCAGAUUGUACAAUUGUGUCCUAAUAUCUGAAUAACUAUCAAUUUAGAAGAAUAGAUCAAAUAGAAGUAUCAUUGCUUUGUUUUUCUAAAUAAUCUGACUAACUGUUAUCACUGGGUUGACGUGUCACUAUUUGGAGUUUCUGACAUGUAGUUAAAAAAAACUCUGUCAUUCCAACAGACCAAUUUGGUUUCAAUUUCGACCACAUUAAAACACUGCUCUGAUGUUUACGGAAGACAGGUUAUAAAUAACCACUGGGAGUCAGUCCGACAUACAGCAGGCAGAACGAGAGUUUUAAGAAUCAGAAGAACACUCGCUCAUUCACCGCGAAUUUAUAACUUAAUACUUCGCCAACUGGCGCAGGCGUAGUACACGAGGAACCGCCCCUGCACUGCAGAGGAGGAGCCGUGACAUAUGCUACCUGCCACCUUUGAUGUAAUUUGUCAAACUGAGAAAACUCAAGUCACAUGACAAAAGGUUGUUGUCUUCCCAUUUUUUUGGCAUCAAAGUUAUGUCCUUUACCACUACAUGAGUGUUGCUGCUUUCUAGAGGGAGAUGGCGAACAGCAAUGCCAAGCUGUGUGUGUCUGUUUUGGGUUCAUUGUGGAGAUGAGCUGGAGGUUGAGGGAGCUUCAAUCCUGGGGACUGAUGGAAAGGAAGAUGCUAUAUAGAGUCUGGUGGGGCUGCUGCUGAGAGGAGUGGGAGACAAACUCAAUGAGGAGGAGGAAGCUUUUGUGAAUGAUGAUGAGGAAGUCGACUGAGCCAGAGGGAUUUUCCCCAUUCUAUACCCCCAUUGUCUUCUUCCCGAUUAUACACUUUUUUCCCAAAGUAUGCACUUGCGCAUUUUCUGUCAUGGAUCAGAAUUUGAUUGGCGUAAUUAUUGGCUAAAGGGAGUUCCCACCAUUGUUAAAUCUAUGACGGGAAAGGGUGGAUAAUUGGGAUCUAGCUCUCUAACCCCAGCCCUAACCCCUAGAGAAGUUUCAACUCAGGGUAAUGUAUUGCUAUUAUUGCAUGCCCAAUUAAACAUUGAUUUUGCACAAAGAAACAUGUACAUAGACAUAUAGAUGACUGUCUUCCAGAGCCAUAGGAUAUGAGGGAAACUGUUCAUCUCAAGCCCCAUUCCAUCUUUUGAAUUAUAAAUGUAUAUGAUAUAAGAAUGUAUAUGAAACUACAGUAUUCAGGUGUUUUUGUUACAUUUUAAUUGGGACUAUAGGAAUGUAAAAAAUAGACAAAUCUGUUGAAUGAAACCUAUUUACUUGUAUAAUUUUACAUUAUAUUUAGUUAUUUACUUUAUUUUUUAUUGUAAGAAUAAUGAUGAUGAUGAGACUGCGUACCAUUGAUCUAGCCUUGUCACGCCGUGAUCUGUUACACCUGUCCUUGUGCUUGUCUCCUCCUCCCCCCAGGUGUCGCCAAUCUUCCCUAUUAUCACCUGUGUAUUUAUACCUGUGUUCUCUGUCUUGUUUGUUGCCAGUUUGUCUUGUUCGUUCAAGCUUACCAGCGGUUUUCCUGUCAGCGGCUAUUGUUUCCAACCCUUGCUUUGCUAGUCCUCCUGGUUUUGACCGAUGCCUGACAUCUCUGCCUGAGCCUGCACCUUUGCUCCACCUCUGGAUUACUGAACCCUGCCUGACCCUGAGUCUGCCUGCCGUCCUGUACCUUUGCCUAACCCUUGAUUUUCGACCCCUGCCUGCCUUGACCUGUCUUUGCAUGUCCCUGUUUGCUACAAUAAACAGGGUUACUUCGACAGUCUGCAUCUGGGUCUUACCUUGAUUCUUGAUAAGCCUAUACUGUCAGAUCCAAAUAAUGUUUACAUAAAGCAACAUUGCCAAAGAUGUCAACAUUCCAGACCUCCAGGACAUGUCCUCAUUUGAUCCAGAGAUGGAACCACUGGUUAAAUCGUGACUGGACCAAAGACUGGGGCAGGUACUGUAGCCUACGUAUGCUGUAUGGAAGUGCUACAAUUCUGAGUGGUAUAUGGUCAAACGGUAAUUCUGUGUGCAGAGUCUAUGCAAUGGAAUGUCUGCCUUAUUUGUUUAAGAAUAAUUAAACAAAUUCCAUGUUAUGAUUAUAGUGUUCAAUGUUAACACUGAUUUAGACAGCUUUGUGACUGUUUGAUUUGUUAUUAAUUUAUUGAAUAAAAAUAGAUCUACUGGGCUCCUGAGUGGCGCAGAGGUCUAAGGCACUGCAUCUCAGUGCUAGAGGUGUCACUACAGACCCUGGUUUCGAAUCCAGGCUGUUUCACAACUGGCCAUGAUUGGGAGUCUGCACAAUUGGCCCAGCGUCAUCCGGGUUUGGCCGGGGUAGGCCGUCAUUGUAAAUAAGAAUUUGUCCUUAACUGACUUGCCUAGUAAAAUAAAAAAAUACUGAAAAGACUCCUAACAUUGUGUGAAAUGAUUUAUGACCAAA